AGUGUUCCCCCGCCCGCUUUGUGUGCGCUUGCGCGCCUGCGGCGCCGCGGCGCGAACUCUCUGAGUUGCAGUCGUCUUGCUCCUCCUGUUCGCUGCAGGUCGCCGGCGCCCCGACCCCGAGGCCCAGGACGCCAGGACGGCAGGGAGGCAAGCUCUGCUCUCAGCGCUCAACGAAGCUGGUGGUCUGAGUCGACCGCGUGUGACUGCCCUUGGCCCCCCCAGCCAUCAGCCUGGGAGGUGCAUCUCUGGGACGCAGGGAGCAAGGUGUUUGUGGAGGGGAGAGACUCUGGGGUACCUCCUCUUCGCGACCAGUCCAACUCUGUGUUGGAUGGCGUAGACGGGUACACCGUGGCUCUCGGAGGUUGGCAGGUGACUCGUUAGUCAUUCUGUAAGUGGCAGAACUACAUUGGAGACCCAGGUGUGCUCCUCCACACCCCAUACCUUGUCCAGGAGCAGAUAAAGUUUUUUCGAGCUUGGUGGUGAGUUGGGCUGGGGCAGCAAACCACCAGAAAGUGAGAAUACAGAGAAACAAGGCUAAAAUAUGGGGGGGGGGGGGUGAGGAAGGGGGAGCCCUACCGCUCAAUAUCAAUUACAGACCCUAUCAGGGAAAGCUGUGUGGAUCACUCCUGCGACUCAGCCAGUGAGAAACCGCCAUCACCCUGAACUCUUGCUUUUGUCUGGUGGACGUCGGUUCAAAAAAAUCUCUCCCGGUUUUUUCUUUCCACAAAAUAAAGAUUUCCUUUGUUUGUUGGC
This is a long non-coding RNA of Lynx canadensis (Canada lynx), 753 nucleotides long. RefSeq lists it as uncharacterized. The transcript is spliced from 2 exons. The record is from RefSeq and is a predicted model, not a curated record. NCBI's taxonomy places the organism in Eukaryota, Metazoa, Chordata, Mammalia, Carnivora, Felidae.